RNAcentral lists this ribosomal RNA (376 nucleotides) under uncultured bacterium. RNAcentral describes it as "bacterial SSU rRNA". It matches the Rfam family "Bacterial small subunit ribosomal RNA", at positions 524 to 898 of the family's 1533-position model. The record is from RNAcentral.
UACGGAGGGUGCAAGCGUUGUUCGGAUUUACUGGGCGUAAAGCGCGCGCAGGUGGGUGUGCAAGUCGGAAGUGAAAUCCCAGGGCUCAACCCUGGGGCUGCUCCCGAAACGGCACGCCUAGGGACUGGUAGAGGCUGGUAGAAUUCCCGGUGUAGCGGUGGAAUGCGUAGAGAUCGGGAAGAAUACCUGUGGCGAAGGCGGCCAGCUGGGCCAGAUCCGACACUGAGGCGCGAAAGCGUGGGGAGCAAACAGGAUUAGAUACCCUGGUAGUCCACGCCGUAAACGAUGGGCACUAGGCGCUGGUGGGAGCGACCCCUUCAGUGCCGUAGCUAACGCGAUAAGUGCCCCGCCUGGGGAGUACGGCCGCAAGGCUGAA